This 406-nucleotide ribosomal RNA is filed under the name uncultured bacterium. Its description in RNAcentral is "partial 16S ribosomal RNA". It matches the Rfam family "Bacterial small subunit ribosomal RNA", at positions 29 to 526 of the family's 1533-position model. The record is from RNAcentral.
AGUGAACGCUGGCGGCAGGCUUAACACAUGCAAGUCGAGCGAGCGGCGGACGGGUGAGUAAUGUCUGGGAAACUGCCUGAUGGAGGGGGAUAACUACUGGAAACGGUAGCUAAUACCGCAUACCAUCAGAUGUGCCCAGAUGGGAUUAGCUAGUUGGUGGGGUAAAGGCAUACAAAGGCGACGAUCCGUAACUGGUCUGAGAGGAUGAUUAGCCACACUGGAACUGAGACACGGUCCAGACUCCUACGGGAGGCAGCAGUGGGGAAUAUUGGACAAUGGGCGAAAGCCUGAUCCAGCCAUGCCGCGUGUGUGAAGAAGGUCUUCGGAUUGUAAAGCACUUUAAGUUGGGAGGCGUUACCAACAGAAUAAGCACCGGCUAACUCCGUGCCAGCAGCCGCGGUAAUAC